RNAcentral lists this ribosomal RNA (270 nucleotides) under uncultured marine eukaryote. Its description in RNAcentral is "partial 18S ribosomal RNA". It matches the Rfam family "Eukaryotic small subunit ribosomal RNA", at positions 619 to 889 of the family's 1831-position model. The record is from RNAcentral.
UUAAAAAGCUCGUAGUUGGAUUUCUGCGGGGGCGGGGCGGCCGAACGCUUAUAGCGUUUCGAGCUAGCACUUCCCCUGCAUCCUGCCGCGAACCGUGCUACCAUUAGUUUGGUGGCGCCGGGGAUCGGCUCGUUUACUUUGAGAAAAAUAGAGUGUUCAAAGCAGGCCACACGCCUUGAAUAAGUAAGCAUGGAAUAAUGAUAAAGGACUUCGGUUCUAUUUUGUUGGUGUUCGGGACUGAAGUAAUGAUUGAUAGGGACAGUUGGGGCG